UCUACGAGUAACCAAAUCUAUAGGGAUCGAUUCACUGAAUUACUCUAAAUAGAAUUUAAACAAAUUAUAUGUAAAAUUAUAUAAUUCCAAAAUAUCACCAUUUAUGUACGUGCAAAAUUACAAAGCUGGAGCGUAUCCAUCGACAAUCUUUUUUAGUUCGGAAGUGGAUUUAGUGCAUUUUGAACUUAAUAAGUGCAUACUGUUAAUUUGUGUUAAAUAUUUGAAGUAGGCUACAAAAUAGCUUGACACAAACAAACUUGUGUACCUAUGUAUGGACAUACUCUAGAAAGUCUGGUAACACCUUAUUACCAGGCGGUGACUAUGUGUGUAACUCUACCACCAUGGUAGUAAAUUCGUCACCUAUUUAGCGGUAGUAAAUUAAUAACAAUUCUGGUUUGAUUUUUUUACUCCCUGGUCUCCUUUAUUAGCAGUGAGGGGUGAAGACUUGCAAUGGUUGGCUUAUUAACCGAUGUGCUACCGAUAGCUUUGGGAAUAUUUUUGGGAAAUAAGAUUGCCGAUUACUUAUUCAAUGCUGAUCAGAAUAAAGAAACCUUCCUUGAGGCUGGGCGGCAGAGUGAAAUUUUAGCUGCGAAGCUAGGGGAGCUAAUUUCUGGGAUGAAUUUAAGUUCGUCAUCAAUUGAGAUUACAGCAUUCGGGGAAAACAAUGAAAAAUCCGUGGCUGACUAUUUUUGGAUGGGAUUUUCCAAACGCUAUGGCUUCUCUGAAAAAGUAGAGCGGAUGGGGCCUUUCGCCAUCAAAAUUAGGGUUUUUCCCAUAUGUACGUGGGUGUUUUAUUAUUGAUUUUCAAAAGGUAUGUUCCGCACUGUUUCUGACCAAAAUUUUGAUGAAAUAACAAACUUCAAAAACAUUUUGGAAGUCGUGAUUUUUUUCAGCUCAAUCGGUUAAAAGAAACACCCGCAACAAAUCAUCCAAAUUUACCUCGAAAAUAUGCAAAAAUUUACGACUUGAUUCCAUUAUCAUCCUAAAAUCGUUUCCCCCUGAUGUUUUUCUUCAACGUUUGAAACGGAUAAUAAUCACUAAGGGUCCUGUCUGGACUGCACGGGGGGUGGUCUGUGCAGGUAAAGCGAUUUUCGUCUGCAUCAGCUCUCUAAAACAGUGAGGUAUUUGGUGGCGCGUUCCCAAUAAGAAUUUUCCCUGUGAAUCAGGCGUUUUACGUUAGGUAAAAAGGCCCAGUAAACUGCACAGUACUUGGAAGAAAGUG
This is a long non-coding RNA of Folsomia candida, 1222 nucleotides long. RefSeq lists it as uncharacterized. The record is from RefSeq and is a predicted model, not a curated record. Lineage: Eukaryota; Metazoa; Arthropoda; Collembola; Entomobryomorpha; Isotomidae. The transcript is spliced from 4 exons.